This 1392-nucleotide ribosomal RNA is filed under the name uncultured bacterium. Its description in RNAcentral is "bacterial SSU rRNA". It matches the Rfam family "Bacterial small subunit ribosomal RNA", at positions 28 to 1381 of the family's 1533-position model. The record is from RNAcentral.
GACGAACGCUGGCGGCGUGCCUAAUACAUGCAAGUCGAGCGAGCGGAACUAACAGAUUUACUUCGGUAAUGACGUUAGGAAAGCGAGCGGCGGAUGGGUGAGUAACACGUGGGGAACCUGCCCCAUAGUCUGGGAUACCACUUGGAAACAGGUGCUAAUACCGGAUAAGAAAGCAGAUCGCAUGAUCAGCUUUUAAAAGGCGGCGUAAGCUGUCGCUAUGGGAUGGCCCCGCGGUGCAUUAGCUAGUUGGUAAGGUAAAGGCUUACCAAGGCGAUGAUGCAUAGCCGAGUUGAGAGACUGAUCGGCCACAUUGGGACUGAGACACGGCCCAAACUCCUACGGGAGGCAGCAGUAGGGAAUCUUCCACAAUGGACGCAAGUCUGAUGGAGCAACGCCGCGUGAGUGAAGAAGGUUUUCGGAUCGUAAAGCUCUGUUGUUGGUGAAGAAGGAUAGAGGUAGUAACUGGCCUUUAUUUGACGGUAAUCAACCAGAAAGUCACGGCUAACUACGUGCCAGCAGCCGCGGUAAUACGUAGGUGGCAAGCGUUGUCCGGAUUUAUUGGGCGUAAAGCGAGCGCAGGCGGAAGAAUAAGUCUGAUGUGAAAGCCCUCGGCUUAACCGAGGAACUGCAUCGGAAACUGUUUUUCUUGAGUGCAGAAGAGGAGAGUGGAACUCCAUGUGUAGCGGUGGAAUGCGUAGAUAUAUGGAAGAACACCAGUGGCGAAGGCGGCUCUCUGGUCUGCAACUGACGCUGAGGCUCGAAAGCAUGGGUAGCGAACAGGAUUAGAUACCCUGGUAGUCCAUGCCGUAAACGAUGAGUGCUAAGUGUUGGGAGGUUUCCGCCUCUCAGUGCUGCAGCUAACGCAUUAAGCACUCCGCCUGGGGAGUACGACCGCAAGGUUGAAACUCAAAGGAAUUGACGGGGGCCCGCACAAGCGGUGGAGCAUGUGGUUUAAUUCGAAGCAACGCGAAGAACCUUACCAGGUCUUGACAUACUGUGAGGACACAAGAGAUUGUGUUGUUCUGACCUUUGGUUAGACACAGACACAGGUGGUGCAUGGUUGUCGUCAGCUCGUGUCGUGAGAUGUUGGGUUAAGUCCCGCAACGAGCGCAACCCUUAUAUCUAGUUGCCAGCAGUAAGAUGGGGACUCUAGAUAGACUGCCAGUGAUAAACUGGAGGAAGGUGGGGAUGACGUCAAAUCAUCAUGCCCCUUAUGACUUGGGCUACACACGUGCUACAAUGGAUAGGAACAAAGAGAAGCGAGCUCGCGAGAGUCAGCCAACCUCAUAAAACUAUUCUCAGUUCGGAUUGUAGUCUGCAACUCGACUACAUGAAGCUGGAAUCGCUAGUAAUCGCGAAUCAGAAUGUCGCGGUGAAUACGUUCCCGGGUCU